AUGGCCAAAGGUGAAGAUUUCAGUUCUCCAGGAAGGAGUAUAAAAAGUUCUGAUAAAAGGAUCUUAACAUCCCCAAAAUCAGGCUCAUAUAAACGAAAUGUUCUUUUAAGUUCUUACAAAGGGAUCACAAAAGAGCCAUUAUACAGUGCCAAGAAACACAAGGUCAAGGAGACAACCAAUCCCAGUGGGAUUUAUGAGAAACUGUGCCAAGAGAGAGGACUUAUUUUGGAGUUCAAGGAAGCGGAUGUUUGACAAUGUCAGAUGCAGGAUUUCUCUGUGCCAGGAUAAGAAACUUGAUACCUCCCAAAAUCCAGAAACUGAACUGUUUGGACAAAGCGCUAUGGAGAUGCCUGCAGAAAUCUCACAGUAAACCAAAGGAUCCAGAAUGAACUUUGGAAUGUAGUGGAAUUGAACUGUGGAAGUUGAACACAUUUAUUUUGAAUGUAAACUCUUAUGCCAAAAGGGACUGCCCCCUUAUUGGCUUUUUUUGUCAAUGCGCCUAGCAACCAUUGUUUUUUGUUCUCUUUUUCUUUUAUUUCCCUCUUAUCCCCAUAUUAUUGUAAUUUCCCCUUAGAAAGUGCAAUAUCGUAUAUACAUCUAGUUGAAGAUCUUUAGAAAUGUAAAUUGGUUAUUUGUACUGAUUACAGGGAGAAACUAAGUGUGGGGAUCUGAGACAUUUCUAAUGCUCAUUUCCCAUGAGAAUUACAGGGGGGGAUUGUGUAAUUACAAUUUGAACCCUAGAACUACAAUUCCCAGCAUCCCUCUUUCCUUCUUACAUUAUGUGCUGAUGUAGGGAGGACAUAAUAUUUGUGUAAUCUCACUGUCUUCACUGACUCCCCUCUCCCUCUCUAUACAUCUACCCCUCUGCCCAGCAACCCAAUGUGAUAGUUUCCCCCUCCCCUAUAUGGAAUAGAGUUUGAGGGGGAGGGAAGGCACUUAGUCUCUAAAAGGUUCAUCAUCACUGCUCUAGCUCCACAUAGCAUCUUACCUCUUUCCUUCUCAACAGACAAUAUUGCCACCCUUUAUUACCAAUAGUCCCUUCCUUGAUGAAGUCCCUACCCUAGGUUGAACAGAAACACUGACUUGAGCUACUACUGGUCACUUGAAAAGAAAGAUAUUCCUCUUCCUACUUCCCAAAAGGUGGAGACAGUAAAGGAACAAGGAGUCUUUGAUCUUCUUGUAUCAUGGGGACAUCCCAAGUUGGAAGUCUAAACAUAUUUUCCCACAAAAUCAGUUUUACAUGACAGUAGGAUUUUAUAAUUCUAUCUGAGCUCAUCUGUAAA
RNAcentral lists this long non-coding RNA (1283 nucleotides) under Monodelphis domestica (gray short-tailed opossum). RNAcentral's name for it is "lncRNA (ENSMODG00000048841.1)". The record is from RNAcentral. Lineage: Eukaryota; Metazoa; Chordata; Mammalia; Didelphimorphia; Didelphidae.